GUUAUAUGGUCAAGUGAAGAAGCGCAUACGGUGGAUGCCUUGGCAGUCAGAGGCGAUGAAAGACGUGGUAGCCUGCGAAAAGCUUCGGGGAGUCGGCAAACAGACUUUGAUCCGGAGAUGUCUGAAUGGGGGAACCCAGCCAUCAUAAGAUGGUUAUCUUGUACUGAAUACAUAGGUGCAAGANGCGAACCAGGGGAACUGAAACAUCUAAGUACCCUGAGGAAAAGAAAUCAACCGAGAUUCCCUUAGUAGUGGCGAGCGAACGGGGACUAGCCCUUAAGUGGCUUUGAGAUUAGCGGAACGCUCUGGAAAGUGCGGCCAUAGUGGGUGAUAGCCCUGUACGCGAAAAUCUCUUAGUCAUGAAAUCGAGUAGGACGGAGCACGAGAAACUUUGUCUGAAUAUGGGGGGACCAUCCUCCAAGGCUAAAUACUACUGACUGACCGAUAGUGAACUAGUACCGUGAGGGAAAGGCGAAAAGAACCCCGGAGAGGGGAGUGAAAUAGAUCCUGAAACCGUAUGCGUACAAGCAGUGGGAGCAGACUUUGUUCUGUGACUGCGUACCUUUUGUAUAAUGGGUCAGCGACUUAUUUUCAGUGGCGAGCUUAACCGAAUAGGGGAGGCGUAGCGAAAGCGAGUCUUAAUAGGGCGUCUAGUCGCUGGGAAUAGACCCGAAACCGGGCGAUCUAUCCAUGGGCAGGUUGAAGGUUGGGUAACACUAACUGGAGGACCGAACCGACUACCGUUGAAAAGUUAGCGGAUGACCUGUGGAUCGGAGUGAAAGGCUAAUCAAGCUCGGAGAUAGCUGGUUCUCCUCGAAAGCUAUUUAGGUAGCGCCUCAUGUAUCACUGUAGGGGGUAGAGCACUGUUUCGGCUAGGGGGUCAUCCCGACUUACCAAACCGAUGCAAACUCCGAAUACCUACAAGUGCCGAGCAUGGGAGACACACGGCGGGUGCUAACGUCCGUCGUGAAAAGGGAAACAACCCAGACCGUCAGCUAAGGUCCCAAAGUUAUGGUUAAGUGGGAAACGAUGUGGGAAGGCUUAGACAGCUAGGAGGUUGGCUUAGAAGCAGCCACCCUUUAAAGAAAGCGUAAUAGCUCACUAGUCGAGUCGGCCUGCGCGGAAGAUGUAACGGGGCUCAAACCAUACACCGAAGCUACGGGUAUCACGUAAGUGAUGCGGUAGAGGAGCGUUCUGUAAGCCUGUGAAGGUGAGUUGAGAAGCUUGCUGGAGGUAUCAGAAGUGCGAAUGCUGACAUGAGUAACGACAAUGGGUGUGAAAAACACCCACGCCGAAAGACCAAGGUUUCCUGCGCAACGUUAAUCGACGCAGGGUUAGUCGGUCCCUAAGGCGAGGCUGAAAAGCGUAGUCGAUGGAAAACAGGUUAAUAUUCCUGUACUUCUGGUUAUUGCGAUGGAGGGACGGAGAAGGCUAGGCCAGCUUGGCGUUGGUUGUCCAAGUUUAAGGUGGUAGGCUGGAAUCUUAGGUAAAUCCGGGAUUCUAAGGCCGAGAGCUGAUGACGAGUCAUCUUNUAGAUGACGAAGUGGUUGAUGCCAUGCUUCCAAGAAAAGCUUCUAAGCUUCAGGUAACCAGGAACCGUACCCCAAACCGACACAGGUGGUUGGGUAGAGAAUACCAAGGCGCUUGAGAGAACUCGGGUGAAGGAACUAGGCAAAAUGGCACCGUAACUUCGGGAGAAGGUGCGCCGGUGAGGGUGAAGGACUUGCUCCGUAAGCCCAUGCCGGUCGAAGAUACCAGGCCGCUGCGACUGUUUAUUAAAAACACAGCACUCUGCAAACACGAAAGUGGACGUAUAGGGUGUGACGCCUGCCCGGUGCCGGAAGGUUAAUUGAUGGGGUUAGCUAACGCGAAGCUCUUGAUCGAAGCCCCGGUAAACGGCGGCCGUAACUAUAACGGUCCUAAGGUAGCGAAAUUCCUUGUCGGGUAAGUUCCGACCUGCACGAAUGGCGUAACGAUGGCGGCGCUGUCUCCACCCGAGACUCAGUGAAAUUGAAAUCGCUGUGAAGAUGCAGUGUAUCCGCGGCUAGACGGAAAGACCCCGUGAACCUUUACUAUAGCUUUGCACUGGACUUUGAAUUUGCUUGUGUAGGAUAGGUGGGAGGCUUUGAAGCGUGGACGCCAGUCUGCGUGGAGCCAUCCUUGAAAUACCACCCUGGCAACUUUGAGGUUCUAACUCAGGUCCGUUAUCCGGAUCGAGGACAGUGUAUGGUGGGUAGUUUGACUGGGGCGGUCUCCUCCUAAAGAGUAACGGAGGAGUACGAAGGUGCGCUCAGACCGGUCGGAAAUCGGUCGUAGAGUAUAAAGGCAAAAGCGCGCUUGACUGCGAGACAGACACGUCGAGCAGGUACGAAAGUAGGUCUUAGUGAUCCGGUGGUUCUGUAUGGAAGGGCCAUCGCUCAACGGAUAAAAGGUACUCCGGGGAUAACAGGCUGAUACCGCCCAAGAGUUCAUAUCGACGGCGGUGUUUGGCACCUCGAUGUCGGCUCAUCACAUCCUGGGGCUGAAGCCGGUCCCAAGGGUAUGGCUGUUCGCCAUUUAAAGUGGUACGCGAGCUGGGUUUAGAACGUCGUGAGACAGUUCGGUCCCUAUCUGCCGUGGACGUUUGAGAUUUGAGAGGGGCUGCUCCUAGUACGAGAGGACCGGAGUGGACGAACCUCUGGUGUUCCGGUUGUCACGCCAGUGGCAUUGCCGGGUAGCUAUGUUCGGAAUAGAUAACCGCUGAAAGCAUCUAAGCGGGAAACUAGCCUCAAGAUGAGAUCUCACUGGAACCUUGAGUUCCCUGAAGGGCCGUCGAAGACUACGACGUUGAUAGGUUGGGUGUGUAAGCGCUGUGAGGCGUUGAGCUAACCAAUACUAAUUGCCCGUGAGGCUUGACCAUAUAACACCCAAGCAAUU
This 2916-nucleotide ribosomal RNA is filed under the name Pseudomonas palleroniana. RNAcentral describes it as "bacterial LSU rRNA". It matches the Rfam family "Bacterial large subunit ribosomal RNA". The record is from RNAcentral. Lineage: Bacteria; Pseudomonadati; Pseudomonadota; Gammaproteobacteria; Pseudomonadales; Pseudomonadaceae.